AUGCAGUUCCAGUCUGGCAACUGUGCCAAAACGUUGGCAAAAGUAGAUGGAUCGGGUUCAAAAGAUUUGUCAUUCGACCCAAGCGCAUUUGGUUUUCCACAAGAUGCUAAUCAGGAAUAUUUCAACCGGGCUUUACAGUACGGUUAUCCAGUUUCAACGCAAGGCUUUCAAGAUAAAGGAUCUUUACCAAGCGUUCCAGAUUUUGUUCUGAAUAAUGCUUCUGCUGCACUCCGGGAAUAUCAACAAUUUGACCACUUUUUCAGACCACUUCAGCCUCUAGCACCUGAUGGAAACCAGGUACAAAAUAGUGGCAUAAAUACCGCACAUCGCAGUAGACCUUCUAAUGCAUCCUCCUGCCUUGAUCAUGUAGAAGAAAUAACUUCUCAUGACACGGAUGGUUAUGACGACAGAGCUAUCUCAUUUGGGAGUAGCUGCAGCACAGGAAUUGUGUGUUAUCCAUAUAGCAGCCCUAUGCAAAGCGAUGACUGCAUUGGAGACACACAGGAUGGGACCUGGGCUGCUCUUAUGCAAAUGCAACAGGCUUUGGAAGCGGCUAAUGAAGAGUGCAGUGACUUGACUUUCAAUAACACAGAACUUUCAGGUGGGAAUACCAUGCAGCAUCAAGUUGUUUGGGACAAUGGCUGUUUAGCAAGUCCGUCUUUCACCUCAAACUUCUUACCCUUCCCUGGAGAGGCUGAAACCAUGGUCACAAAUACCAGCGCUAUGCAUAACUUACAUAACUCUGUUGACCUCCUGUAUGAUAAUGAUCAAGACAUAUCAUCUUUUGAGCUCAAAGUGGCUGAACAGAAAGAGGCGACCACAAGCCAUGUUUAUGAACAUCGAGAUGAAAUGCAUUCUGCUGAAUUGGGGCGAAAUCCUGGCCACGAUGAAUCUUUUGAUUUGCCAAUAACCCAGGACAUACAGUUCAGCUCAUUUGUUCAUGGUCCAGAUGGAUCUGUAGAUAGUGGAAUGAACCUUUAUGAUUGUGAAGAGCAAAUGGAAAUUGAUUCACUCCUAAAUUCAUUUGGAGCUUCAAGUGAUACCUUUGCACAGACAUAUGAAAUGUUACAAAAAGGUGAAAAUAUUGUUGACCUUGAAAAAAGGGCUAAAUUAGCGGAAAGCAUUUCUGCUACAUUCAUCACUAAUACUGUCCCAUAUAUUACACAAGCUGGGGCGACUGAGUCAACUGUCUCUGAUGGAUCUUCUUGGACUCAACAAUAUCAAUCUACUUCCCAGUCAUGUGGUUUAUCUUAUUCUUCAGCUUCUCAAUGGGAAACCAUGCCAGAGUUCGUGACAGGCGUGGAUGGUCAAAGGAGCCACCUAUACCGUGACGAAGCACUGGCAACCCAAGGUGUAUGGGCGGCACAUCCUGGUACGAUGGUACACUCUUCAACCGAUACUGGACAUUCAGAUGUACAGCUGCCCAUGGCACAGACUACUACUGUUCCGCUGCCUGCUCCGAGCUUGUCCAAGGGCCCCAACUCAUUAUUUAUUGGAACAGAGCUUAAGAAGGUUGACCUACAUGAUACAAGUAUGCAGAUGCCCUUGACACAGACUACUGUUCAGCUGCCUGCUCCGUGCUUGUCCAAGGACCCCAACUCAUCAUUUAUUGGAGCAGAGGUUCAGAAGGUUGACCAAAAUCAUUCAGAUAUGCAGCUUCCCUUGACACAGACUAGUCAUGUUCAGCUGCCUGCUAUGAACUUGUCCGAGUACCCGACCUCGUCAUUUGUUGGAGGAACAAAGCUUAAAAAAGUUGACAAACAUGAUCCACUGCCUGCUACGAGCUUGUCCGAGGAUCCAAAAUCAUCAUUUAUUGGAGGAGCAGAGCUUAAGGCAGUUGACAAACAUGAUUCAGACAUGCAGCUUCCCAGGAUACAGGCUAGUCAUGUUCCGCUGCCUGCUGUGAGCUUGUCUGAGGAACCGAACUCAUCCUUUAUUGGAGGCACAGAGCUUAAGGAAGUUGGCAAACAUGAUUCAGAUAUGCCGCUUCCCAUGACACAGGCUAGUCAUGUUCCGCUGCCCGCUGUGCACUUAUCUGAGGACACGAAAUCAUCAUUUAUCGCAGGACCAGAGCUUAAGGAAGUUGACAAACACGAUUCAGAUAUGCCGCUUCCCAUGACACAGGCUAGUCAUGUUCCGCUGCCUACCAUGAGCUUACCCGAGGACACGAAAUCGUCAUUUAUUGGAGGAACAGAGCUUAAGGAAGUUGACAAACAUGAUUCAGAUAUGCAGCAUCCCAUGACACCGGCUAGUCAUCUUCUGCUGCCUUCUGUGAGCAUGUCCAAGGAUCCAAAAUCAUCAUUUACUGGAGGUACAGAGCUUAAGGAAGUUGGCAAACAUGAUUCAGAUAUGCAGCUUCCCAGGACGCAGACUGUUCAUGUUCAUCUGCCUACGCCGAGCUUGUCCAAGGAGUCCGAGUCAUCAUUUGUUGGAGGAACAGAGCUUAAGGAAGUCGACAAACAUGAUUCAGAUAUGCAGCCUCCCAUGACACAGGCGAGUCAUGUUCCGCUGCCUGCUGUGAGCUUGUCUGAGGACCCAAACUCAUCCUUUAUUGGAGGUACAGAGCUUAAGGAAGUCGGCAAACAUGAUUCAGAUAUUCAGCUUCCCAUGACACAGACUGUUUGUGUUCAGCUGCCUGCUAUGAGCUUAUCCGAGGAUCCGAAAUCAUCAUUUAUCAAAGGAACAGAGCUUAAGGAAGUUGACAAACAUGAUUCAGAUAUACCACUUCCCGUGGCACAGGUUAGUCAUGUUCCACUGCCUACCAUGAGCUUACCUGAGGACACGAAAUCGUCAUUUAUUGGAGGAACAGAGCUUAAGGAAGUUGACAAACAUGAUUCAGAUAUGCAGCCUCCCAUAACACCGGCUAUUCAUGUUCUGCUGCCUGCUGUGAGCUUGUCCGAGGACCCGAAAUCAUCAUUUACUGGAGGUACAGAGCUUAAGGAAGUUGGCAAACAUGAUUCAGAUAUGCAGCUUCCCAUGACGCAGACAGUUCGUGUUCAGCUGCCUGCUCCGAGCUUGUCGAAGGACCCCGACUCGGCAUUUGUUGGAAGAACAGAGCUUAAGAAGGUUGGCCACAUUGGAUAUCCUCAGCAAAGUAUCCUGCUCUCAGCAAGCAAACCUUCACACCCAAUCGGUUUGCCAGUUAUCAAGUUUGAUGACGAGGUGGGUUCACGAUCAAAGAAGCGGAAAAGGUCAACAGAAGAUGUUUUAGCAUCGCAUGCACAAGCCAUGUUCGAGGGUGGGAGACUGCAAUGUAGAAGGACACCUGAGUUGGCUUGGGCUGAUGCCACAUUGACUGAGAAGGUUGACGGUGAAAAAGCAACGAUGGAAAAUAGCACCUUCGUUUCUCGAGCUCAGAGAAGGCUUACUUUAACGACCAGCUUGAUUCAGUGUCUCCUGCCUGCUCUGUCAGCGAGACUUCUUGCAGCAAAAGUUGCUGAUUGCGGUGAAGCCAUUGUGUACCACAUUUGUAAACUGAUGCUCAGUGAUAUGUCUGACCCAGUUCAAUCUUUUGUCAGCGACACCAACAACUUCAUGCAAAGCGAAAACAUGCCACCGAACGAGACAAGCACCUCCGGAAAGGAGGACUGUAAACUCUUAUCUGAAGUUCUGGAAACCUUCGAUGCGAGGCUUGGCGGGCUACAAAGCUCCUUGUCAAGAAGCGAGAUGAUGCCCAGCUUCCAAGACCACGCGUCGGCGCUACGCCAAAUCGAGCAGUGGUCCAUGACCCAUCAGCUCAUAAAGCUGAGCGAAUACAAGAGACUGCACGCCGGCUACGGCUCGGGUCCUAAAAGGCCUCUCUGCGUCGGAGCCAUCCGGAAGCAUGCCGGAGGAUCUUCCGCGCCGGUCUCGGAGCUGAAAAGGAUCCGGUGUCGCUUGCUCAAGUAG
This 3888-nucleotide ribosomal RNA is filed under the name Triticum aestivum (bread wheat). RNAcentral describes it as "partial small subunit ribosomal RNA". Lineage: Eukaryota; Viridiplantae; Streptophyta; Magnoliopsida; Poales; Poaceae. The record is from RNAcentral.